AUGAGGGCCACGCCAGUGAUCUCCCCUCAGCCCGCCUGCUCCCUCCUUUCAUCUCCGUUCUACUCCUUCUCUCUCGGCCCCAUCGAGCUCGCCUCGAUCCAUGGCCCCUCCUUAAACCUAGCUCCGGUCUCGGCCACGACCGGCCUCACAGAUCUCGGCCGCCAUCCCCUACGCCUCCCCCCACGUCUCCCUCACCUCGCCCGUGCAGCACCGUGGCUGCACGUCGCCUGCGCCAUCUGCUGCAGCCCCGCUCUAAACCACUUGCAUGCCAUGGGCAGCGGCCAUGGAGGACACACCUCCGCCUGCUCACUCGCCGCUGGCCAGCCAGAUAAUCCAGAUGUUCUCAUAUGCCUUGAGGAGUUGUCGGUGGAUUAUAUGCAGAGGCUACCAAGUGGUAGCUCCAAUGUUGCAAGAGGAUCUGAAUUUUCAAGCUCAGCAAGGCCUGCAUGUUGCAGUCUGUGGGACGGCCGGCUCUGGAAAAUCAAGUUUGCUCUCUUGAAUGGUAUGGUUCCAAAGCUAUUAGGAGAGGCCAAGACUUGCAGAACAAUGCCAUAUGUCAGCCAGACUGCAUGGAUACAAAGCGACAAAAUUCAGGACAACAUACUGCUCGGCAAGACGAUGGAGAGGGAGAAGUAUGGAAGGCUCCUUGAGUGGUGUUCGCUAAAGAAAGACUUGGAGAUCAGAAAUCAUUGGAGAUUGACAUACAGGAUCCCAAUUUUUCAAGUUUAUGUUUGUCUUGACAGAUCGAUGGUUUCGUCGUGGUCGGCAGGAGAAAUAUCAUCAAUGGUACGGAAAAAGGCAGGUAGGCUGAGGCGGGCGUCCACACCGAGCAGCCGAUCCAGGAAACCAGCCCUGCGGCACCCCCUCGUGCCAGUCCCCAUCUCUAUGUUUGUGUCAGGCCUAGUGCAAGGUAUUGGUAGAAGAGAAGGCCGGAAAGAGAAGCUGCAAGAUCACAAAUGUACCUUGGUUAUGUCUCUCACUAAAGUUGUUGAAGUGAAAGAUGAAGAUGAACCCGUAGAAGAGCUGAAAAAAGGACGUGGUAGAAAGAAGGAAGCGAAGCCUAAACAGUAUAAUGAUUACUGCCUCGCCCAGCCGUGCAUCCAAGAUGCGACGCUUGCUGGAAAGCUGGUCAAGUAG
RNAcentral lists this ribosomal RNA (1137 nucleotides) under Triticum aestivum (bread wheat). Its description in RNAcentral is "partial small subunit ribosomal RNA". The record is from RNAcentral. Lineage: Eukaryota; Viridiplantae; Streptophyta; Magnoliopsida; Poales; Poaceae.